This 496-nucleotide unclassified non-coding RNA is filed under the name Myrmephytum arfakianum. Its description in RNAcentral is "partial external transcribed spacer". The stretch from base 432 to 496 matches the Rfam family "Eukaryotic small subunit ribosomal RNA", at positions 1 to 65 of the family's 1831-position model. Lineage: Eukaryota; Viridiplantae; Streptophyta; Magnoliopsida; Gentianales; Rubiaceae. The record is from RNAcentral.
UGUGUGAGUGGUAAAUGGAUAGCACGACUUGGUUGGAUCCCUACUCGUGUAGCGACGUCCUUUCGUGCAUUCCUCUUCAAUUUUUGGCACGAGAGCCUCUUAUGGCCUCGGCCGCGUUGUUGGUUUCCUGUGCUAUAUACCUACAUUGAUGGAAUUUGUUGGCCAAUUCUCCCGAGUUCUUCCACAUCUGCCCGUUAACGCGGUGCGGCUUCGGGUGAACCUGAAAGCGAAAUUCGUGUUCUGACAUGCGUACAAUUGUUAUGCAUGCACGGCCCAUGAACGAUGCGUGACCUUGGGGAUGCAGAAAACGUUGAGGGUAAGGGAUAUUUGACUUCUCUAUUUGCCCCAAAUCGGCAUUACACGCCCCAAUCGAUCGACUCCGCUGUUGUACAGACAUUUAUGUCUUGCGACUCGGUGUCACCGAAGAAUGCUACCUGGUUGAUCCUGCCNGUAGUCAUAUGCUUGUCUCAAAGAUNAAGCCAUGCANGUGUAAGUA